AUUGAACGCUGGCGGCAUGCCUUACACAUGCAAGUCGAACGGCAGCACGGGAGCUUGCUCCUGGUGGCGAGUGGCGAACGGGUGAGUAAUACAUCGGAACGUACCCUGAAGUGGGGGAUAACGUAGCGAAAGUUACGCUAAUACCGCAUAUUCUGUGAGCAGGAAAGAGGGGGAUCGCAAGACCUCUUGCUUUAGGAGCGGCCGAUGUCGGAUUAGCUAGUUGGUGAGGUAAAGGCUCACCAAGGCGACGAUCCGUAGCGGGUCUGAGAGGAUGAUCCGCCACACUGGGACUGAGACACGGCCCAGACUCCUACGGGAGGCAGCAUGGGGAAUUUUGGACAAUGGGCGCAAGCCUGAUCCAGCCAUGCCGCGUGAGUGAAGAAGGCCUUCGGGUUGG
Molecule: ribosomal RNA, 397 nt
Filed under: uncultured bacterium
Lineage: Bacteria
Description: bacterial SSU rRNA
Rfam family: Bacterial small subunit ribosomal RNA
Source: RNAcentral